UUGGAUAUGGGUAUUGUAGCUGAAAGGUCUUGCGAGCUGAGUCAGGCUCAGGGAGGCUGUGAUGGCAAUGAGAAGUCAACACACUGAGGAUGGAGAGAAAGAAGAUGAGUCUGGGAGAGAAAGAGAAUGAUUCUUCCGGCCGAGGGAAAGCAAGAAUAUCUGUUCCUGCAACUGCACUGAUUCUGGAAACACUCUCUAUUCGAACUCUCUUGAGAUGGACCGAAAAUGCUGAUGCCAAUGCCAAGGAAAAAAGUGUCUUGAAAAAGCAGCCUUGGACGUGGAGUUACCAAAUCAUCCGAAGUGGCUCCUGGAUCGGGUGGAGGAGCCAGGCUGCAGAAAUGCAGUUCAUCGCAGGAGUUUUCCUGAACAGAGAAAAGUCUCCACAGAAUAGCAAAAAUAGCAAAAACUCGAAGUCAAGGGUCUUGAGGUAUAAAUUUUCUGUGUGACCCCAGGGAAAUCGUUUCAUCUUUCUAGGUCUUCGCAUCCUCACCUGAAAAAUAAAGUGCUUGGCUAAGAAAGGCUUGAGGUUUUAUUUGGCUCAUUCUGUGGUUCUCUAGGUCAGUGUUUUUAAAGCUUCCUCACGUAUCUGCUGCGUUCAGGAGCCUUAGUCCCAAAGAGUCAGUAUUGGGUGGUAACUGCACUUUUCAGUGAGACUCUCAUGUUCCACACUAGGCCCCCAAGGAUUCUUCUGCAGGUAAUCCAUGCUGAGAAAAUCUGCAAAGUCUUUCCAGCCUGGUCCAGUCCACACUUGUUUUGCCCUUUCCAACUCUAGACUAUUGAUUCCUGGAGGACGAAGAACUAUUUUUAGCCUUCUUUUUCUGCACUGAGUCUCAGGCAGUGUCAGACUUACUUAUUUUAGGAAAUCUUUAUUGAGACCUCCUGGAUGCCAGGUAUUGGGGUCACAAAGACAAAAGUUCCCUUAAGGAUUACUGUCCAAUUGGAAGGACAUACAUGCAAAUGAAUAUAUGCCUGGAAAUUUGUUGAUUGAUUAAAUGGGCAUUUAAUAUAUUUUUUUCAAACCCAGAGACCUAAAUAUUUACUGAUCUUUCCCUACCAUCCCAUUAAAUAACAGUCCUCCAGGAUCUUUGAAGGAAUAUAAGCUCAUGGAAGGGCAGAGAUCAUAUCAGUCAUUCUCAUCCUUUUAUAGGUACUUUUGUUAAGAGUCAACUGUGGCACAGAUCAUUACUUUACCUAGAUCUUAAUCCUAACAACAAUAUUUUUAUGGAGAAGGAAACUGAGGCUCAGUGAGGCUAAGCCAUCUGGCCAAGGUCAUACAAUAAGAGGCAGAGCUCAGAGUGGAACCCAGUGUGAUAUAUCAAAAUACAGUCUGCACAUCUUUCUUCCAAAGCAUUUUUCCUGUAGCAAUUAAGUGUGCCUGUAACUUUUCAGCUAACCUCCAGAAAGUUAAGAUGGCUGUGUCUUUUAUAAGAUAUAAUUAUUUGAGAAACAAGUGACUAAAACUUGCAAAAUCUGCAGGAAAGAACUUCUAGGCUCUUUGGAGUUUUUUUGCCCUGCACCAACAUCCUCUCAAAGGCAAAGAACAGCAAUUAUGAUAAAAGAGACCAGAAAGUGAAAGGAAUAAACAAUGUAGCGAUUGCUCUGGGAAAACUGUAGCUCAUUUUUAUUUUGAUAAUGACCUCUAAUCUUCCCAGGGGAAUUUUGAGCAUGUAUCUUAUCUUAAAACAUUUUUUUGAACUUUGGCACUUUUAUUGCCUUUACAAGAACAGCUAUGAUUAAGGGAUGACUCUCUUAGUUGCAAUGGAUGAAACAAUUAAAUGUGUUUACCUGCUGACAUUCCAAACCACUUCUUGAUAGGAAACAAAGGUGUGAAACAGCUCUGGUGUUUAUGUGAACAUAAUUUUUUUCUAAAUAUUAUUUUUUUUUGUUUUGCACCCUGCUUAGAAUGUACUUUUGAUUUUCUUGAGUUUAGAUGAGGUUGACAAUCAUGAUGUAAAUCCAGAUCGAAAUAGAAUUCCUGUUGCCAUUUUAAGUUUAUAAUGUUUAACUACCUAAUAAUGGCUGGAAAUUAAGUCUGGAAUCACACCCAAGUUAUACUACAUAUUCAAUCAGGCUGAAUUUGACGUUAAUGAUAUGACUAGGAGGAGCUAGGAAACAAAUUCUUUUUUUUUUUUUUUUUUUUUUUUCUCAUUUCAUGAGGCACCCUAUACCAGCAGUAAAAUGUUUCUUAAAUCAGAGGAAAGAAUUGACCUUACAGUUUCCUUUUUUUUCUGAGAUGGAGUCUCACUCUGUCUCCCAGGCUGGAGUGCAGUGGUGCAAUCUCAGCUCACUGCAACCUCCGCCUCCCGGGUUCAAGCGAUUCUCCUACUUCAGCCUCCCAAGUAGCUGGGAUUACAUGUGUGUGCCACCACAGCCAGCUACUUUUUAUAUUUUUAGUAGAGACAGGGUUUCGCCAUGUUGGCUAUGCUGGUCUCAAACUCCUAACCUCAGGUGAUCCGCCAGUCUUGGCCUCCCAAAGUGCUGGCAUUACAGGUAUGAGCCACUGCGCCCGGCCAGUUCCUUUUAAAACUUGAUCUAGAACGCUCUUGAUUUUGGAAUUAUAAUGCUUAAUAUUUUCCUCAAUUAUGACUGCCCAGAUUUAGCCAAGGGCAAUUAGAAGAGGAAAGACUGACUUCAUCUUGACCCCUGGGGCCAGAGCUACUAUGGCAAGGCCAACUUCAACCCGUAUGGAAGAUGUGGCUGCUGAGAGCUUCCUAUAGAGCCCCUGACAUAGGAUAAAGGGAAAAUAUGUCUGUUUUAAAUCAUACUAACAUUGUGAUAAAGUAAUAUUAUGUCCUUUGAAGGACCUAAAAUAGUGCUAAAUUGUAUCAUGACCAAGAAACAUUUGUUUAGCAUUUACUCUGUGCCAGGCACUAAACUAGGUAUGAAGGAUAUAAAACUAAAUAAGGUGUAAUGUUUGUCUUCAAAGAGUUUCUUUAUCCUGCAAGAAAUUAGAGAUGGCUAAAUUUUAAAAAAUUUUUAUUAAGGUAUUUUUAUUUUUUUUUAAUUCAUAAAAUCCAGAUCCUGCACAAGAUAGCUGGACUUCUCUAAGGAAUCAGAAUUAUAAGGAAAACAUAUUGAUUGUUUCCCUUUGUUAGUGAAAAUAAUACAUUCAGAUUUGAAAUGGUCAAUUGUUCACAGUGAUUUUUGGCUGUUAUGAAUAAAGCUGUUAUGAACAUAUGUGUAAGUCUUUGCAUGGACAUAUAUUUUCAUUUCCCUUUGGCAAAUACCUUGGAAUGGAAAUUGUUAGGUCAUGUAAUAUGUAUAUAUUUACAUUUAUGAGAAACUGCCAAACUUUCUGAAAUGGUUGUCCUGUUUUACACUCCUGCCUGUAAUGCAUGAGAAGUCUAGUUGAUUCAUAUGGACACCAACACUUAGUAUUAUUAGUCCUUUCACUUUUAAUCAUUCUAGUGGAUGUGCAGAGAUAUUUCAUUGUGGUUUUAAUUUGCAUUUCCAGGUAACUGUUGAUAAUGAGCAUCUUCUUAUGUGCUCAUUGGUCAUUCAAAUAGCUUAUUUUGUAAAGUGUCUUUUGCUCAUUUUGAAAUUGUAUUGUUUGACUUAUUGAGUUGUAGUGUUCUUUAUAUAUUUUGGAUACAAGUCCUUUGCCAUGUAUGUAAAUUGUAAAUAUUUUCUCCCAGCCUGUGCUUUACGUUUUCAUUUUUUCAGCAGUAUUUUUCAGUAAACAAGAGUUUAAAGUCCAA
Pan troglodytes (chimpanzee) is the source of this 3698-nucleotide long non-coding RNA. RefSeq lists it as uncharacterized. The record is from RefSeq and is a predicted model, not a curated record. Lineage: Eukaryota; Metazoa; Chordata; Mammalia; Primates; Hominidae. The transcript has 2 exons.